AUCAGGAUGAUGCUGGCCUCAUAAAAUGAGUUAGGGAGGAUUCCCUCUUUUUCUAUUGAUUGGAAUAGUUUGAGAAGGAAUGGUACCAGUUCCUCCUUGUACCUCUGGUAGAAUUCGGCUGUGAAUCCAUCUGGUCCUGGACUCUUACUGGUUGGCUACACCCUGCAAGGUCAUUAUCAUUAGCUGCACUUUACAGGAGAGGAAGCUGAGGCUCAGAGAAGCAAACUGCCCUCCUACUUAUGUUGAAGACUUUCCCAUCCUAUGAGCCCAGGUGGGAGAAGCUGAAAAUGGCAGAAGGUCACUUUUCCAGCUGCCCUGUGCCUGCACUUCAGGGCCAAGGAGUUUGAAGAAGUCCAAGGUAGAGCUUUCUGGAAAAUCCUCUGGAGAGGUUGAUCAGAAACCUUCUCCCACAUAAACAAAGGACCCAGGAAGAAGCUAAAAAUGGGCCAUGAGAUUGUCUUUAUUCAUCAAGCCUGAAGUUUUCUGACUCUAUCUUUCUUUUCCCGUGGCCACUGUUACCUCUCCAGAACAGACCCCAUCACCUGAAUUCUGCCUGAGCCUCGACAGAUAUGCUCAGCUGCUCUCCCAUGCUGGCUGUUGUUACCCCAACCCACUUAAAAUUCCUUGAGGUCUUAGAAGCUCUCUCCCACCAAGGUGCCGAAAGAAGUAUUUCACAGGUUCUCAGUGACAAUUGUUUAUUGAAAUUUACACUGAUGAGAAGUGGUCCCUAUUAAGGGAAUUCAAUCCAAGGAGAUUGGCUCUAUACUUUGAACCGCUGUGGCC
RNAcentral lists this long non-coding RNA (783 nucleotides) under Homo sapiens (human). RNAcentral describes it as "HSALNT0060899". The record is from RNAcentral. Lineage: Eukaryota; Metazoa; Chordata; Mammalia; Primates; Hominidae.